Molecule: ribosomal RNA, 497 nt
Filed under: uncultured bacterium
Lineage: Bacteria
Description: bacterial SSU rRNA
Rfam family: Bacterial small subunit ribosomal RNA
Source: RNAcentral
GACGAACGCUGGCGGCGUGCUUAACACAUGCAAGUCGAACGGGAUUUAGUAGACGGAAACCUCGGUGGAAGAUUACUAAUGAGAGUGGCGAACGGGUGAGUAACGCGUGAGCAACCUGCCUAUGACAGUGGGAUAGCCUCGGGAAACCGGGAUUAAUACCGCAUAAAAUCGUAGAAACACAUGUUUCAACGGUCAAAGAUUUAUCGGUCGUAGAUGGGCUCGCGUCUGAUUAGCUAGUUGGUGAGAUAACAGCCCACCAAGGCGACGAUCAGUAGCCGGUCUGAGAGGAUGAACGGCCACAUUGGAACUGAGACACGGUCCAAACUCCUACGGGAGGCAGCAGUGGGGAAUAUUGCACAAUGGGGGAAACCCUGAUGCAGCGACGCCGCGUGAACGAAGAAGGUAUUCGUAUCGUAAAGUUCUGUCCUAUGGGAAGAUAAUGACAGUACCAUAGAAGAAAGCUCCGGCUAAAUACGUGCCAGCCGCCGCCGUAACAC